UGGAGGAAAGCAGGGGAUCGUAAGACCUUGCGCUUUUGGAGCGGCCGAUGUCUGAUUAGCUAGUUGGUGGGGUAAUGGCCUACCAAAGCUUCGAUCAGUAGCUGGUCUGAGAGGACGGCCAGCCACACUGGGACUGAGACACGGCCCAGACUCCUACGGGAGGCAGCAGUGGGGAAUUUUGGACAAUGGGCGCAAGCCUGAUCCAGCCAUGCCGCGUGAGUGAAGAAGGCCUUCGGGUUGUAAAGCUCUUUCAGCCGGGAAGAAAAGGCUGCGACUAAUAAUCGCAGUUCAUGACGGUACCGGAAGAAGAAGCACCGGCUAACUACGUGCCAGCAGCCGCGGUAAUACGUAGGGUGCGAGCGUUAAUCGGAAUUACUGGGCGUAAAGGGUGCGCAGGCGGUUUUGUAAGUCAGAUGUGAAAUCCCCGGGCUUA
RNAcentral lists this ribosomal RNA (433 nucleotides) under uncultured ammonia-oxidizing beta proteobacterium. RNAcentral describes it as "bacterial SSU rRNA". It matches the Rfam family "Bacterial small subunit ribosomal RNA", at positions 197 to 611 of the family's 1533-position model. The record is from RNAcentral. Lineage: Bacteria; Pseudomonadati; Pseudomonadota; Betaproteobacteria.